Molecule: non-coding RNA, 1831 nt
Organism: Nelumbo nucifera (sacred lotus)
Lineage: Eukaryota; Viridiplantae; Streptophyta; Magnoliopsida; Proteales; Nelumbonaceae
Source: RefSeq, a predicted model, not a curated record
UCCGUCUUUCGGAAAGCGGAAAUUGACCUAACUUCGGAGUUACAUUGCCAAACGUCAGAGCUUAGUAUCUCUCUCUGUAUUUCUGUCUGGUUAUCUUCUCAUUUUCGUGAAAUCUAAAUUAGACUUCUAUUUUAGAUUGGUAGAGGAAAGCCUAAGGAUAUAACACUUCAAAUUUAGUCCAGACUUCAGAAGCAAUAUUCUAAUCUCUUUUCUAGACUGAGGGGAAGAAGGAAUUUUAUCGCUGGAGAUACAAUUCUGGGUUUUUGAAAACAAAAAAAUUCCUGAUACAGUUCUUCUAUGACCAUCAGGGGGAGACUGCUGCAAUCAUAGUAUGUUGGCUCCUUGGAAAUGGGUGCCUCUUCUCGUGGAACAGUAUGCUAACAAUUGAAGAUUACUUUGUUUACUUGUUUCCGCGCUACCACCCUACUAAGGUUCUUACCCUCAUUUAUCAACCUUUCACACUUGGAAGUCUUGAAAGAUCAGCAUACAAUGAGACAAAAGUUAAUACAAGAGGCGAAACUUAACUUUAUAUAUCCUUUUAUUCAUUAGUUCUUUGUUGGUAUUAAUUGUAAGUUCUAUCAACAUUCUCUUGUAUUGCAUUGUUCGAACAACUUUGUGAACUGAAACACCUGGACUUGAUAUUUCAUACACUAUCCAUUUUACUAUAUUUCACCAUUAUUUCCUGCCAAUCCAACUUAUCCUAUUCUGUCUAUGUGAUAGUUGGAUUUGGCUAAAUCUGGCAAAGGGGGAGUUGUGACUUAUAUUGGUAUAUGUGCUAUCAGUGGUGUUUUUGGAGUUGCAGAUGCUCAUGUUCAGGGUGGAAUGGUUGGAGUUGGAGACCUCUCCUUCAUGUGCCGCGAAUUCAUUCAAAUAGUCUUUCUUAGCUGGAAUGGCUGCAUCACCUCAGGUUUUUAAGGCUAAUUAUGAAAGCAAUCUUCGAGAACUCUAAGGAUGGACUUCGCAAGGGCACUAGUACGCACUUGUUCUGAUUGCGAUGUAUAAUGUGUGGGAUCUUAUUGGAAGAUGCAUCCCUCAUAAAAAUCCUGACUCUUAAAGUCAUAGAAGGGCCUAAUGAUUGCAAUUCUUUCUCAUUUUUUUCUCAUCCCACCUUUCUACUUCACAACUAAAUAUGGAGAGCAAGGCCGGAUGAUCAUGUUGAUGUUAUUCUUGGAAUUGACUAAUGGUUAUCUAACUGUUUGUGUCCUCAUUGCAGCACCAAAAGGUAGUCAAGUAUACUAUUAGCUAGGAAAAGUUUGGUUAACUUGUAAGCAUAACAAUUAAAGUUGUAUUGAGGAUGCUAUUUCUUUUUCCUUGUUCUUGCUUUUAUUUUUUCUAAUCAAAGGUUAUGGAGUUUUGUUUUUGUAGGCUGGGGUGACACUUGAUUGGUUGUGGCUUAUAGGCCAAGGCUGGUAUAUUGUAUCUGAUCCGAUCUGUUUGCAACCCUACCUCACGCAAGACUAGGAAGAAAGGUAUGGUGAUUUUCUUUUUGGGUGAAUUACUUAUAACUUCAGUCAGAUACUUAUUCCUCAUUUCCUCUUACCAGAUACUACUUGGAGUUACAGUCAAAAUUGAAGUAAGUUCUUAUGAUUGAUGAUUCAAACAGAGGGAAUAUAGUUUAUAGACUUUGCAACAAAGAUUUGAAUGAUUAGGUGGAUUUUUCAACAAUCCAUUCAUGGGGGUACAAUUUGAUAUUCGAAAUUUUAAAAGAGUUAAUAGAUUCAAAAUUAAAGUAAUUAAUAACAAAUAUGAAAAUAAGGGCCUUCAUUUAUUAAAUUUGUGAAAAUGCUGAUUGAUUCAUAGGCGGGGCAAAUUAUAGUAAUUUGUUUCAACC